CACCAGACUCCUACGGGAGGCAGCAGUGGGGAAUAUUGCACAAUGGGGGGAACCCUGAUGCAGCGACGCCGCGUGGGUGAAGGAGUAUUUCGGUAUGUAAAGCCCUAUCAGCAGGGAAGAACAAUGACGGUACCUGACUAAGAAGCACCGGCUAAAUACGUGCCAGCAGCCGCGGUAAUACGUAGGUGGCAAGCGUUGUCCGGAUUUACUGGGUGUAAAGGGAGCGUAGACGGAUGGAUAAGUCUGAAGUGAAAGCCCGCGGCUCAACUGCGGGACUGCUUUGGAAACUGUGCAUCUUGAGUACGGGAGGGGCAGGCGGAAUUCCUGGUGUAGCGGUGAAAUGCGUAGAUAUCAGGAGGAACACCGGCGGCGAAGGCGGCCUGCUGGACCGAAACUGACGUUGAGGCUCGAAAGCGUGGGGAGCAAACAGGAUUAGAUACCCUAGUA
Molecule: ribosomal RNA, 447 nt
Filed under: uncultured bacterium
Lineage: Bacteria
Description: bacterial SSU rRNA
Rfam family: Bacterial small subunit ribosomal RNA
Source: RNAcentral